This 217-nucleotide long non-coding RNA is filed under the name Elaeis guineensis (African oil palm). RNAcentral describes it as "long non-coding RNA (EGUI_LNC011557)". Lineage: Eukaryota; Viridiplantae; Streptophyta; Magnoliopsida; Arecales; Arecaceae. The record is from RNAcentral.
UUUCACCUAAACUAUGAAAUAUAACUCCGUUAACACGACCAUCGGAGAAAAAUAACUCGGAAAACUAUUAACAGUACAAGUAAAAAUCUCAAAAUCUGAGCGGUAAAAAUGAAAUGGUUAAGAUCACCUUUUUGACUCCCCUACCUUUUUUUUCCCUACAUCCACAACAUGGAGGAUAUGAAUACAAGCCUAUGCAAGAAAGUGCAGGCACCGAAGG